RNAcentral lists this transfer RNA (71 nucleotides) under Anguilla anguilla (European eel). It matches the Rfam family "tRNA". From Rfam's summary of the family: Transfer RNA (tRNA) molecules are approximately 80 nucleotides in length. Their secondary structure includes four short double-helical elements and three loops (D, anti-codon, and T loops). Further hydrogen bonds mediate the characteristic L-shaped molecular structure. tRNAs have two regions of fundamental functional importance: the anti-codon, which is responsible for specific mRNA codon recognition, and the 3' end, to which the tRNAs corresponding amino acid is attached (by aminoacyl-tRNA synthetases). tRNAs cope with the degeneracy of the genetic code in two manners: having more than one tRNA (with a specific anti-codon) for a particular amino acid; and 'wobble' base-pairing, i.e. permitting non-standard base-pairing at the 3rd anti-codon position. The record is from Rfam by way of RNAcentral. Lineage: Eukaryota; Metazoa; Chordata; Actinopteri; Anguilliformes; Anguillidae.
GCGCCAGUGUUGUAGGGGUAUCAUGCAAGAUUCCCAUUCUUGCGACUCGGGUUCGAUUCCCGGCUGGCGCA